GUUUUUUUGAGAAUAAUAUAAAGUUUAAUUUGCCCCCUGAAUUAAAUUUAAAGGGCUGCAGUAUAUUGACUGUACAAAGGUAGCAUAAUCAAUAGUCUUUUAAUUGAAGACUGGUAUGAAUGAUUUGAUGAAAUAUAAACUGUCUCUUUUUUAAAAAUAGAAUUUAAUUUUUUAGUUAAAAAGCUAAAAUAUAUAUAAAAGACGAGAAGACCCUAUAGAGUUUAAUAAUUUUUUAUUUUUAAAUAAUUUAUAUAUUUUAUAAUUUAAAAAUAAAAAAUUAUUUUGUUGGGGUGAUAGAAAAAUUAAAAUAACUUUUUUUAAAAAUUAACAUUAAUAUAUGAAUAUAUGAUCCAUAAUUUAUGAUUAAAAGAAUAAAUUACCUUAGGGAUAACAGCGUAAUUUUUUUUUUUAGUUCGUAUAAAAAAAAGAGUUUGCGACCUCGAUGUUGGAUUAAGAUAAAAUUUAAAUGCAAAAGUUUAAAAUUUUUGAUCUGUUCGAUCAUUAAAAUCUU
This 511-nucleotide ribosomal RNA is filed under the name Gonepteryx amintha. RNAcentral's name for it is "partial 16S ribosomal RNA". The stretch from base 387 to 511 matches the Rfam family "Archaeal large subunit ribosomal RNA", at positions 2542 to 2666 of the family's 2987-position model. Lineage: Eukaryota; Metazoa; Arthropoda; Insecta; Lepidoptera; Pieridae. The record is from RNAcentral.